Bombus pyrosoma is the source of this 1219-nucleotide long non-coding RNA. RefSeq lists it as uncharacterized. The record is from RefSeq and is a predicted model, not a curated record. Lineage: Eukaryota; Metazoa; Arthropoda; Insecta; Hymenoptera; Apidae. The transcript has 2 exons.
ACUUUUUUCGUUGCUUGUUACAUUAUCUACUAUUAUAAUAACUUUAUAAUAACCAACGACCGUUUAGCAAAUAAUUAGUUUUUGAAAAUUUUUUAUAAAAUAAUUCAUUUUAAUACUUUUGUUGUUUAAGACGUCAUAGGUUACAAACGUCGUAGUAUUUUCUUGGUUUGUUGGUAUUCAUGGAUAAGUAAUUACUAUUUUAUAUCGAUGUUCUAUGCCGCGCGAGUAUUUAUAGCUUGCGUUACAAGCGUACCUAGUUGGAAGGUUUGAACGUUGGCGGAAAACUCGAUUUUUCAAUUAGAUAUAUUCGCGAGGAUAUUGUCGCAAUACACCAUACGGAAUCUCUUAAGUAAAAGGCUAGUAAUAUUGUGAAAGUAGGCAGUAAGUGCUCUUUGUUACAAUAAAAGUGGGCGAAUCUUAUCUUUCUGUUGAUUACACAUAAUCUUUAGCUAUUAAAUUAUCACAUGUUUAACGUAUGUCGUAUACAUCUUAAUGCAAUAUAACUUACUUAUUAACUAAAAUACUAAGCUACUUUUUGUUAAAUUAUAUUUUUUAUUAUUACAAAGUGCACUUCAUUCUUAAUGAAAUAUUCGCAUGAAAUAAAUUUUUAUUAAUAAAAUACUAUCAUAGUUAGAAUUUGAUACAUUCGUAUGAAAAACUAGGAAUAAAUUAAUGAUAUUGAAACUAACAAAAUAAUUUUUUACAUGACAUAGAAAUUUGUUAAUAAAAUAAUAUCAUAAUUGGAAUCUGAUAUAUUCAUAGCUUCAUCCACCAGAAAUCAAUAAUAAAAUUUAACGAAAAAUGAUUAUGUGAAGAUAGAUACUAAUAGUCACAUAAAAUUGAAACUCACUCAAAAAUAAUAUUGGAAUUCUAUGUAUUCGUUGUAGAAAUCAGCAAUAAAGAUAGAGAAUUAUUAAACUUUGACCUAUUGUCGAAUUAACCACAUAUAAAUUCGCUCCUUCCCGCUUGAUCCUUUAUUCGUAGACUCGAUAUACAUAAGAGAGUUCAGAACGAUUCCACUUAGCAUGUAGUAAUAGUUAGGAUGUAAAUUUUAUUAAACAGCAAUUCACGCGAGGAAGAAGUUCGCCGCGUUUUGAUAAACCGACGAAAAUCCUUUAAGAAGAUUAAUGCAUUAUUAGGCAAGAGACCCGCGUAGUGUUCGUAAAAAAUAUUCUAUUUAAAACGUGUACGUAAAACAAUAAAGCAGCUUUUCAACGGA